CGCGUACAGUGCAUGAAAGCUGCGAAUUAGGUGUUUAUCACAACUUAGCUCUCGAUCUACACGCUGCGAUAAAACUCUCCAGAUCUGAAAUGUAAACCUAGCUUUCAUCCUUUUCUUUCUCGAACUCUCCGCUCAGUUUCACAUUUUCUCCCUCAAACCCUAGAAUUAUUUCAUCGAUCUCUCUCUCUCUCUCUCUCCUUUAGAUCAAUUCUUUCUCCCCAUGAAGUGUAAGUUUCCCACUGAUUUCAUGGGAGAUUUGGCAAGUUCCGACGCCAAAUGCUGCUUUCUCGACAUUUCCCCCGAAGAAUGAGGGAAUUUGGGACCGACAGUUGACUCUUUAUUCCCGAAUAUUGUAGAAACUCCUCCAUAUCUGCCGGACUUCGAAGGAACACCGACGUUAUUACCAAAGAUGAACAGAUGCAGAGAAAAUCAAUCUGGUAGUGUGCUAAAUUUCAUCCACCACACACAUUUUUACUUCUCAUUCUCCGACGGUGGCAUUAGUGGCCUGCUCAUCGGCUUAUUCCAGAAGGUUGAAGGUUCAAAGCAGAAUUCAAACCUACGAGUAGAUCAACAAAGAUGACGGAAGCGAUCCAUCACUAAACAUUGUUGCUAGGAUACGUGGUGCAACUGUGAGUCAAUUUUACAUCUUACGUUUGCCUGUUGAUACUCCACCACAAGAUCUUCAUGCACCAGAUUUCUUAAAUGACCUACACCCUGGAGAUCACAUUGAGAUCCAAUGGAGACGGAAUAAAGAAUUCCCUUAUGGUUUCAUGAGUUGGAGGCUACACAGUUCCUCCUGAUUUCAUCUUGCUUACUCUACCAAGCUUUCUCAUGGCAGUGCUGGAAGUUGAGUUAAAGUUGCCUGCAGAUUCAUAUACCGCCAACCUUGUAAUAAACGAGGGAGAGUCUGUGUAUGCCUAUUGUUGGUACCCUUACAUGUCUGCUUCAGAUGGACUGUUGUAAAGUGUAUAUUGAUUAUGUCAGUUUUUCACUUGUGUCCAUGCGGCACUUUUGCCUUGUACUCAUUGCUAUGCCGGCAUGCAAACCUUGGGUGUUCUUCCUACUGAUGAUAAGUUAUCUGCAAUAUAUCUAUUGAGGGAUCCGAACAGACAACAAGGAAUUCUGCUUUCAAGCUACCAUAUGAAAAGCAUGAAAGAUUUCAUAAAGCGUUGAUGAUCUUUGUUUUUCUGGGAACAUGUAUGACUAUUGGUGAUGGUGUUCUCACACCAGCAAUAUCAGUUCUUUCGGCAGUGUCUGGAGUUCGUCUAAAAUUCACGGGACUUCAUGAAAAUUAUGUCGUUGUGGUUUCCUGCAUCAUUUUGGUAGUCCUGUUUUCUCUCCAACAUCAUGGAACACAUAGGGUUUCUUUCAUGUUUGCACCAAUUGUUUUAGCAUGGCUCCUUUGUAUCAGCAGCAUCGGUGUUUAUAAUAUUAUAAGGUGGUCAUUUUGUGUUUAAUGAUUUAGUCAGGUAUUGAAUAUUGUUCAUCUGAUUGUUUUAAUUAGGAUAGAAAUGUUGAUGUAAUAUCUAGAUUGAUUGAAUAUCAAUUGUUGGUUUGGCUUAGAAUGUGAUGGUGGCUUGGUGUUUAUUGCUAUAAACAGGUGGUGGGUGAUUUUUUUUGUAAAAUAAAUGUACUAUUUGCAGCGCGCACCGUUAAGUGAAAGUUGUGAAUAGUGUCAGAAA
Molecule: RNA transcript, 1682 nt
Organism: Spinacia oleracea (spinach)
Lineage: Eukaryota; Viridiplantae; Streptophyta; Magnoliopsida; Caryophyllales; Amaranthaceae
Gene name: potassium transporter 1-like
Exons: 7
Source: RefSeq, a predicted model, not a curated record